GCCUGAGUGGCUCAGUCGGUUAAGCGUCCGACUUUGGCUCAGGUCAUGAUCUCAAGGUUUGUGAGUUUGAGCCCUGCCUCAGGCU
Molecule: transfer RNA, 85 nt
Filed under: Felis catus (domestic cat)
Lineage: Eukaryota; Metazoa; Chordata; Mammalia; Carnivora; Felidae
Rfam family: tRNA
About the family: Transfer RNA (tRNA) molecules are approximately 80 nucleotides in length.
Source: Rfam by way of RNAcentral